GACGAACGCUGGCGGCGUGCUUAACACAUGCAAGUCGAACGGAAAGGCCCUGCUUUUGUGGGGUGCUCGAGUGGCGAACGGGUGAGUAACACGUGAGUAACCUGCCCUUGACUUUGGGAUAACUUCAGGAAACUGGGGCUAAUACCGGAUAGGAGCUCCUGCUGCAUGGUGGGGGUUGGAAAGUUUCGGCGGUUGGGGAUGGACUCGCGGCUUAUCAGCUUGUUGGUGGGGUAGUGGCUUACCAAGGCUUUGACGGGUAGCCGGCCUGAGAGGGUGACCGGCCACAUUGGGACUGAGAUACGGCCCAGACUCCUACGGGAGGCAGCGGUGGGGAAUAUUGCAGAAUGGUCGGAAGCCUGAUGCAGCAACGCCGCGUGCGGGAUGACGGCCUUCGGGUUGUAAACCGAUUUCGCCUGUGACGAAGCGUGAGUGACGGUAAUGGGUAAAGAAGCACCGGCUAACUACGUG
This 468-nucleotide ribosomal RNA is filed under the name uncultured bacterium. RNAcentral describes it as "partial 16S ribosomal RNA". It matches the Rfam family "Bacterial small subunit ribosomal RNA", at positions 28 to 507 of the family's 1533-position model. The record is from RNAcentral.